Molecule: ribosomal RNA, 463 nt
Filed under: Vreelandella stevensii
Lineage: Bacteria; Pseudomonadati; Pseudomonadota; Gammaproteobacteria; Oceanospirillales; Halomonadaceae
Description: partial 16S ribosomal RNA
Rfam family: Bacterial small subunit ribosomal RNA
Source: RNAcentral
CCUACGGGGGGCUGCAGUGGGGAAUAUUGGACAAUGGGGGCAACCCUGAUCCAGCCAUGCCGCGUGUGUGAAGAAGGCCCUCGGGUUGUAAAGCACUUUCAGUGAGGAAGAACGCCUGGUGGUUAAUACCCAUCAGGAAAGACAUCACUCACAGAAGAAGCACCGGCUAACUCCGUGCCAACAGCCGCGGUAAUACGGAGGGUGCGAGCGUUAAUCGGAAUUACUGGGCGUAAAGCGCGCGUAGGUGGCUUGAUGCCGGUUGUGAAAGCCCCGGGCUCAACCUGGGAACGGCAUCCGGAACUGUCAAGCUAGAGUGCAGGAGAGGAAGGUAGAAUUCCCGGUGUAGCGGUGAAAUGCGUAGAGAUCGGGAGGAAUACCAGUGGCGAAGGCGGCCUUCUGGACUGACACUGACACUGAGGUGCGAAAGCGUGGGUAGCAAACAGGAUUAGAUACCCCAGUAGUC